GCACGCUCACAUUUCACAAUGUUUACCCUCUUUCAUCUCAGCUUGAUUUAUUUAUGUCUGACAGCACGUUAGCAUGUGUUUGGAACAUACCGGCGGCUGCAGCUAUGCUAUGCUAAUGCCAAAGGAUCAAUGCUAACUUUGUAUCUCUUGCUUCAUCGAGGCGUAAGUGGGACUACAUGUGAGCUCACCAGGCUUGUUGGUUUUGACGGGUCGUUGUAGUGACUGGGCUAGGCUAACUACUGAACUGAGUUAAAGUUUAGGUAUUGUGCCCUAACAUGUACAUUGGUCUGGUGUUUGAUGUUGGAGAGUCUGGACAUCAAAUGUACCCUGUGUCACUCCAUCACACUCUGGGAGGCACUGCUCUAACCACAAGGCUUAAAGGUUACAAGAGAACUCGGCCCGUGGCGACCCGAACCCAACCCCUAUUCCGGACCGAGUUCUCCUGGCGGCCGAGAUCUUUUGUUACCGGCUAAAACAGGGGUGGGCAAUCAUGUGUCAUGAAGGGCCGAGACACUGCAGGUUUUUACGACCAGUCACCUCAGCAGGUGAUUUCAUUAACUAUCAGGUAUCUCAGCAGGUUAUUUUAUUAACAAUCAGGUGUCUCAGCAGGUUAUUUUAUUAACAAUCAGGUAUCUCAGCAGGUGAUUUCAUUAACUAUCAGGUGUCUCAGCAGGUGAUUUCAUCAACUAUCAGGUGUCUCAGCAGGUUAUUUUAUUAACAAUCAGGUGUCUCAGCAGGUUAUUUUAUUAACAAUCAGGUAUCUCAGCAGGUCAUUAAAUUAACAAUCAGGUGUCUCAGCAGGUGAUUUCAUUAACGAUCAGGUGUCUCAGCAGGUGAUU
This is a long non-coding RNA of Thalassophryne amazonica, 839 nucleotides long. RefSeq lists it as uncharacterized. NCBI's taxonomy places the organism in Eukaryota, Metazoa, Chordata, Actinopteri, Batrachoidiformes, Batrachoididae. The transcript has 2 exons. The record is from RefSeq and is a predicted model, not a curated record.